RNAcentral lists this ribosomal RNA (587 nucleotides) under uncultured bacterium. RNAcentral describes it as "bacterial SSU rRNA". It matches the Rfam family "Bacterial small subunit ribosomal RNA", at positions 223 to 805 of the family's 1533-position model. The record is from RNAcentral.
CGAUGGCGAUGCGUCCCAUUAGCUAGUUGGCGGGGUAACGGCCCACCAAGGCUCCGAUGGGUAGGGGUUCUGAGAGGAAGGUCCCCCACACUGGAACUGAGACACGGUCCAGACUCCUACGGGAGGCAGCAGUGAGGAAUAUUGGUCAAUGGACGCAAGUCUGAACCAGCCAAGUAGCGUGCAGGAUGACGGCCCUCCGGGUUGUAAACUGCUUUUAGUUGGGAAUAAAAGGGGGCUCGUGAGCCCCGUAUUGUGUGUACCAUCAGAAAAGGGACCGGCUAAUUCCGUGCCAGCAGCCGCGGUAAUACGGAAGGUCCGGGCGUUAUCCGGAUUUAUUGGGUUUAAAGGGAGCGUAGGCCGGCUUUUAAGUCAGCUGUGAAAGUCCGCGGCUCAACCGUGGAAUUGCAGUUGAAACUGGAGGCCUUGAGUGCACACAGGGAUGCCGGAAUUCAUGGUGUAGCGGUGAAAUGCUUAGAUAUCAUGAAGAACUCCGAUCGCGAAGGCAAGUGUCCGGGGUGCAACUGACGCUGAGGCUCGAAAGUGCGGGUAUCAAACAGGAUUAGAUACCCUGGUAGUCCGCACCGUAA